Molecule: ribosomal RNA, 444 nt
Filed under: uncultured bacterium
Lineage: Bacteria
Description: SSU rRNA
Rfam family: Bacterial small subunit ribosomal RNA
Source: RNAcentral
AGAGCGAACGCUGGCGGCAGGCCUAACACAUGCAAGUCGAGCGCCCCGCAAGGGGAGCGGCAGACGGGAGAGUAACACGUGGGAACGUACCCUUUGGUUCGGAACAACACAGGGAAACUUGUGCUAAUACCGGAUAAGCCCUUACGGGGAAAGAUUUAUUGCCAAAGGAUCGGCCCGCGUCUGAUUAGCUUGUUGGUGAGGUAACGGCUCACCAAGGCUACGAUCAGUAGCUGGUCUGAGAGGAUGAUCAGCCUCACUGGGACUGAGACACGGCCCAGACUCCUACGGGAGGCAGCAGUGGGGAAUAUUGGACAAUGGGCGCAAGCCUGAUCCAGCCAUGCCGCGUGGAUGAUGAAGGCCCUAGGGUUGUAAAGUCCUUUCGACGGGAAGAUAAUGACGGUACCCGUAGAAGAAGCCCCGGCUAACGUUCGUGCCAGCAGCCGC